This 123-nucleotide small RNA is filed under the name Serratia inhibens. RNAcentral describes it as "Serratia sp. S40 RtT sRNA". It matches the Rfam family "RtT RNA". From Rfam's summary of the family: This family represents a bacterial cis-regulatory element known as RtT RNA. The exact function of RtT is unknown although it is thought that it may be involved in changing the cellular response in relation to amino acid starvation. Lineage: Bacteria; Pseudomonadati; Pseudomonadota; Gammaproteobacteria; Enterobacterales; Yersiniaceae. The record is from RNAcentral.
UUCGCUUUUCCGACCGCGAGGAGAGCGGUUGGAGGUUCGAGCCGAGCGAAGCGAGACAACGUUGCUUCAGCAACGGCCCAUAGGGCGAAGCGUUUACGCUGAGUAAUCCUCCUGGAUGCACCA